UUCAUGCAUGACCUCUUCAUUACCUAUUCCCUCAACCUUCUGGCUCUCACAGAAACCUGACCUCAGACACAGCCUCCCCUGCUGCCUUGUCACAUGGGGGUCUCCACUUCAGCCACACCCCUAGGCCUGGAAACAGACAAGGAAGUGGUAUGCUGCUUCCGGUUCCUAUCGCAGUGACUGGGCCUGCACAGUGGUGCGAUGAAGACACCAAGGGACUUCCAGAUGCAACGUGCUGGUGUGGGGAUAUUGCUAUAAGGGAUAUAUUUUAUCAUUACAGCAUACUGUAGUCACAUAUAUAAUCAUUAAAUGGUCCAAUACCUUG
Long non-coding RNA from Bombina bombina (fire-bellied toad), 322 nucleotides. RefSeq lists it as uncharacterized. Lineage: Eukaryota; Metazoa; Chordata; Amphibia; Anura; Bombinatoridae. The record is from RefSeq and is a predicted model, not a curated record. The transcript has 2 exons.